This is a non-coding RNA of Paramuricea clavata, 1303 nucleotides long. The record is from the annotation of a GenBank genome assembly. NCBI's taxonomy places the organism in Eukaryota, Metazoa, Cnidaria, Anthozoa, Malacalcyonacea, Plexauridae.
AAAAUCGCAGCAAAAAUUGCAAGUGUAAACGAGCCUUUACGUUUUAAUGUUUUGUUUGGAUUAGAUUAUAAAAUAAUAGUAGACAAAAUAAAAAUACAUUUUUGUCUUCUUUCGUCUUUCUAUUAAUUUUCAUUUAUAAUUUUUAUUUAGAAAUCAGCUUAAAAAUACGUUGAAAACUCGGUUAAAUAACAUGUCCGACAACGCUACGAUUGAAAGAGCAGAUCUAAAAGUAGAGGUCGAAGAACCAACUGUGAUCCAAGAAAUGUUAGAAGACGAUGGAACUGCAACCACAACCCAAGAAGAGAAUUACGAAUUCAAAAACAAUUCGGCAAUGACGGACGACUCGAUAACUGCCGAUAAUUUAGAAGAAAUGAAAAUGGAACUAUUGCAACUGAAAUUACAGGAAAUGGAACUUUCGAAGCUGCAAGAUUCCGCAACUGGUGACAAAGAUGAUCAAGAAAUGCUACAAAAGUUGAAAUUGGAACUCGCCAUGGAGAAAGCAAAAAAAGAAAACACAAGAAGACAAAGAAUCAGAGAAGAAUGCGAAGGGGUGAGAAGAGAAAUAGCGAAGACCAAAGAAGAUGCAGUGGACGGACGGACAUUAACACAAGAUAAUGAUCAUAAAUAUACAUCAGAAUGCUCGAAAACGGUAGCUUCUGAAGCUGACGAACGAAUGCAGGAAGUAUUAAUCAAAUCGAGAAAGGAACUGCAAGACACGAAGCAAAAAGAACAAGAAGAAAUUAUUCAGAAAUUGAGACGUGAAUUAUCUGAACUGAAGGAAGCAAAAGAGGAGACCGCAAAAAGAGAAAAAGCUAGAAAAGAACGUGAACAGUUGAAAAGUGAAAUCGAAAGGUUGAAGAAAGAAAAGAAUGAAACCACAACAAGAGAAAUAGAAGAAUUUCAAAAGUUGAAAAAAGAAGUGGAAGAAUUGAAGGAAGCUGCUACGGGAGUACGAACAAGACAUAAGUGUGAAGAAUUGAAAAAAGAAGUGGAAGGAUUGAAAGAAGCUGCUACGGGAGUACGAACAAGACACAAGUGUGAAGAAUUGAAAAAAGAAGUGGAAGAAUUGAAGGAAGCUGCUACGGGAGUACGAACAAGAGAUAAGUGUGAAGAAUUGGAAAAGGUUAAGGCUAAGUUGGAAGAAUCUGCAACCAAAGUUCGCACGAAAACAAAAGUUGCCGAACUAGAAACGGAAAUACGAGCGGAAGAAGCGAGGAGAAGAGAAAUCAACCGUAUACUUCAGUUGAUGGCUGCUGCACAAGCAGUUGACUUGUGUUUUCUCGUUGAUUGCACUGGAAGCAUG